CAAAUCAAUUUGUUACUUACUAUAUGGAUCAAAACGAAUAAGUUCCAAUUUAUCCGCUAAACGUUCUCGAAUGGCAUUAAACUGGUGACCGGAGACUACACUUUCCAUUAAAACCAUGAUUCUUCUGAAAUUGCUUUUUGCUUUUUUCAAUAGUACAUUUGUUAAAAACAUUUUGAAAUUUUAAGCAGUGAGCGACAUCCAGAUUUACUGUAUAUGUUUAUAUAUCUCUAUUUAAAGUCUAGUCCAUAACAUAACCUUUUCACUUUUUAUUUGACGUUUCAAGCAAGUUUCAAGUCACAAUCUACCAUAGUCAAACUCCAAGCUCCAUGGUCUAAAGCAUGGAUCCUAAGACAAAGCAUGGAUCUAAAGCUGACUUGACUAUCCUUGAGCGACAUAGGUUAUACUAUAUUUUCAAAAAUAUUAGGGAUCCUUACUAAAACUCCAAUAAUGUAGCCCAAGGGAUAAAAAAAUAACCUAAAAAAUUCCUUACAUUGCGUGCGCUGCAAAAACUAAUGAUAAUAGAAAUAUAUAAUUUAGUAAGCCUUUGUAGAACACAUCAUUAUCUAUAAUAAUUGUAUUUGCUCGCAAACGAAAAAAAAAACUGACUUCAAUUACAUCGACAAGUAAUAC
RNAcentral lists this unclassified non-coding RNA (630 nucleotides) under Melitaea cinxia (Glanville fritillary). Its description in RNAcentral is "misc RNA ENSMCXG00005008040.1". Lineage: Eukaryota; Metazoa; Arthropoda; Insecta; Lepidoptera; Nymphalidae. The record is from RNAcentral.